UACGUAGGUGGCAAGCGUUGUCCGGAUUUACUGGGCGUAAAGGGCGUGCAGGCGGUCUGUUAAGUUCAGGGUGAAAGCUCCCGGCUCAACUGGGAGAGGUCCUUGGAUACUGGCAGACUUGAGGGAGGUAGAGGAGAGUGGAAUUCCCGGUGUAGUGGUGAUAUGCGUAGAUAUCAGGAGGAACACCGGUGGCGAAGGCGGGUCUCUGGGCCGAUACUGACGCUGAGGAGCGAAAGCGUGGGGAGCGAACAGG
Molecule: ribosomal RNA, 253 nt
Filed under: uncultured bacterium
Lineage: Bacteria
Description: partial 16S ribosomal RNA
Rfam family: Bacterial small subunit ribosomal RNA
Source: RNAcentral